RNAcentral lists this ribosomal RNA (534 nucleotides) under Aspergillus flavus. Its description in RNAcentral is "eukaryotic LSU rRNA". The stretch from base 232 to 385 matches the Rfam family "5.8S ribosomal RNA". The record is from RNAcentral. Lineage: Eukaryota; Fungi; Ascomycota; Eurotiomycetes; Eurotiales; Aspergillaceae.
UAAAAGUCGUAACAAGGUUUCCGUAGGUGAACCUGCGGAAGGAUCAUUACCGAGUGUAGGGUUCCUAGCGAGCCCAACCUCCCACCCGUGUUUACUGUACCUUAGUUGCUUCGGCGGGCCCGCCAUUCAUGGCCGCCGGGGGCUCUCAGCCCCGGGCCCGCGCCCGCCGGAGACACCACGAACUCUGUCUGAUCUAGUGAAGUCUGAGUUGAUUGUAUCGCAAUCAGUUAAAACUUUCAACAAUGGAUCUCUUGGUUCCGGCAUCGAUGAAGAACGCAGCGAAAUGCGAUAACUAGUGUGAAUUGCAGAAUUCCGUGAAUCAUCGAGUCUUUGAACGCACAUUGCGCCCCCUGGUAUUCCGGGGGGCAUGCCUGUCCGAGCGUCAUUGCUGCCCAUCAAGCACGGCUUGUGUGUUGGGUCGUCGUCCCCUCUCCGGGGGGGACGGGCCCCAAAGGCAGCGGCGGCACCGCGUCCGAUCCUCGAGCGUAUGGGGCUUUGUCACCCGCUCUGUAGGCCCGGCCGGCGCUUGCCGAA